CCUACGGGGGGCAGCAGUGAGGAAUAUUGGUCAAUGGACGAGAGUCUGAACCAGCCAAGUAGCGUGAAGGAUGACUGCCCUAUGGGUUGUAAACUUCUUUUAUAUGGGAAUAAAAUGUUCCACGUGUGGGAUUUUGUAUGUACCAUAUGAAUAAGGAUCGGCUAACUCCGUGCCAGCAGCCGCGGUAAUACGGAGGAUCCGAGCGUUAUCCGGAUUUAUUGGGUUUAAAGGGAGCGUAGGUGGAUUGUUAAGUCAGUUGUGAAAGUUUGCGGCUCAACCGUAAAAUUGCAGUUGAAACUGGCAGUCUUGAGUACAGUAGAGGUGGGCGGAAUUCGUGGUGUAGCGGUGAAAUGCGUAGAUAUCACGAAGAACUCCGAUUGCGAAGGCAGUUCACUGGACUGCAACUGACACUGAGGCUCGAAAGUGUGGGUAUCAAACAGGAUUAGAUACCCCAGUAGUC
Molecule: ribosomal RNA, 460 nt
Filed under: uncultured bacterium
Lineage: Bacteria
Description: partial 16S ribosomal RNA
Rfam family: Bacterial small subunit ribosomal RNA
Source: RNAcentral